UGAGCGUGAGUUGAAGACCCUCCUCAACCUCUCCAGAUAGUCCGUUCACCACGUGGUCGUGUGCUGCUUUUACUCUACACUUAUACCACCCCUCUCUAGAUGUUGUCGUUGCGUCCCACCACUUCUUGAGUGUGGUGCCAACGUACAGCUCCGCAGACUCGACAGUCUCAGGUUUAAGAAUUGAAGCCAUGCUGUUGCCCAUAAUUCAUAUGGCCAAGAGCCUUUGCGCAGGCGCUGGAACAAAUCUUGAAAUUAUCAGGGCCCAGUUGGGCUGAUCGGACAUCAAAGCUUCAAGACUCUACACUUGUUGAAGGAGCCAGAAAACAUCCAUAGGUGAUAGGUCAACUGUAUUGGGCUUCAUGCGCUUCUGACCUCGGUAAUGUUUGGAAGGGCCUCAGCUCCUGUAGACGGUUAUGAAACACAGUUUUGGCCAACGAUCGCCCCAAUCCCGCAUUGUCCAUC
This 462-nucleotide long non-coding RNA is filed under the name Coccomyxa subellipsoidea. RNAcentral describes it as "long non-coding RNA (CSUB_LNC000728)". Lineage: Eukaryota; Viridiplantae; Chlorophyta; Trebouxiophyceae; Coccomyxaceae. The record is from RNAcentral.